GGCCGCGGGAAUUCGUGUCGGGCCUAACACAUGCAAGUGGAACGGCAGCAUGGAGAGCUUGCUCUCUGAUGGCGAAUGGCGAACGGGUGAGUAAUGCAUCGGAACGUACCGUGUAAUGGGGGAUAACGUAGCGAAAGUUACGCUAAUACCGCAUACGACCUGAGGGUGAAAGCAGGGGAUCGCAAGACCUUGCGUUAUACGAGCGGCCGAUGUCAGAUUAGCUAGUUGGUGAGGUAAAGGCUCACCAAGGCGACGAUCUGUAGCGGGUCUGAGAGGAUGAUCCGCCACACUGGGACUGAGACACGGCCCAGACUCCUACGGGAGGCAGCAGUGGGGAAUUUUG
Molecule: ribosomal RNA, 343 nt
Filed under: uncultured bacterium
Lineage: Bacteria
Description: bacterial SSU rRNA
Rfam family: Bacterial small subunit ribosomal RNA
Source: RNAcentral